RNAcentral lists this ribosomal RNA (318 nucleotides) under Escherichia coli. RNAcentral's name for it is "partial 23S ribosomal RNA". It matches the Rfam family "Bacterial large subunit ribosomal RNA", at positions 1570 to 1869 of the family's 2925-position model. Lineage: Bacteria; Pseudomonadati; Pseudomonadota; Gammaproteobacteria; Enterobacterales; Enterobacteriaceae. The record is from RNAcentral.
CGAGGCACUACGGUGCUGAAGCAACAAAUGCCCUGCUUCCAGGAAAAGCCUCUAAGCAUCAGGUAACAUCAAAUCGUACCCCAAACCGACACAGGUGGUCAGGUAGAGAAUACCAAGGCGCUUGAGAGAACUCGGGUGAAGGAACUAGGCAAAAUGGUGCCGUAACUUCGGGAGAAGGCACGCUGAUAUGUAGGUGAAGUCCCUCGCGGAUGGAGCUGAAAUCAGUCGAAGAUACCAGCUGGCUGCAACUGUUUAUUAAAAACACAGCACUGUGCAAACACGAAAGUGGACGUAUACGGUGUGACGCCUGCCCGGUGC